Neopsephotus bourkii (Bourke's parrot) is the source of this 2021-nucleotide long non-coding RNA. RefSeq lists it as uncharacterized. The record is from RefSeq and is a predicted model, not a curated record. The transcript is spliced from 5 exons. NCBI's taxonomy places the organism in Eukaryota, Metazoa, Chordata, Aves, Psittaciformes, Psittacidae.
CAUCCAGACUUCUGGCACUUCUUCAGCUAGACUGCCUGGUUCUGAGAAUGCUAGGCAAAUAACUAGUGGAUUUUUUCAUCCAAGCAACAUAUCUUGGAGGAACAAGGAAUGAAGCACAGAUACAGUGAGUGCUACCUGUGGGAAUGAGCAGAAGUAGGGUUCAAAGCAUGUAGUGCCCAUAUAUUCCCUUACAGUCUGAUAGUACAGGAGUUCACUCUUGGCUCCAUUCACAAGAGGAGGCAGUUAAUUACAGUUAAUGCAAAGACACAGUUUCUGCAAUUGGACUCUGGAGUUGCUUUUGCUGCUGCUAGUUACUACCAUCUGCUGAUGCUUGUGUGUGAGCUCAGCUCUGCUGUAUUCCACCACUAAUAUAGCUGAGCUCUAAAGUUAAAGCUUUAAACUUCCCCUGGUAUAACAUGAGAGAAGAUUCGGCUAUUACUGAUCUUAGUAGUUCAUGAGCUAGGAAGUGCUCAGCAGAGACUGAAGGUGGUUUAUGAGCACUUCCACUACCUUAUCCUACUGAUGGUUUAAAGCUUCGUGUUUGGCCUCAAGUGAGCUGUGAUGGUCACCAGUGCCUGGCUCCUUCCCAAAGACCCUAGUCUGAAAUAGAGCAGGUCAACACAUGUUGCUGUUGGACCAGAACAGGCUGACUCAAUGCCAUUUUAAAAUCAGUGACUGCUCAUAGCUGUAGCUUCUUAGUAAGUUCUUUGGCUGUCCUUUUGGAGAUGUGUAUAUGGCAAUUGAAUAUGGGCUUUUUCCAAGUGAAAAUGAAAUUCCAAGAGCCAAGUAUCAACAGACCACAUUCCAAUAGUUCAGUGUAUCGGCCCAGUUUUCUUUUAGCUGUCGUUUGGUGAAGAAAGAUGCAAAAGAGGCAGAACGUGAAACACAGACUCCAGAUUCCACACACCAGCUGCCUUGCUCUCAUCCUGAUGGUAGCUUUCAGCUACUUUGCACACUAAGGUCCCUGGAUGUGGUGAUACAGUAGGGUCCCUAGAUUUUUACCUAUAUUUGCUGUGGUCUGUAGAAAGAAUAAACAGCAGAAUGUUUUGUUGCACAGGAGCAGGGUUAAGCCUAAAGUCAGGGCAGGAAAAUAAAGGUACAUGGAUGAAAUGGAUUGACUAUGUCUCUAGUGGCAAAGUGUUUUCUAGAACUACCCCCCAGAAUUUCAUAGGCACAUGUUGUAUUUUUAUAAUGUCUCUUGCUGCAAACAUUGUUACAGAAUGCACAAAUCAAGAGUUCUUUCUGCCAUUUCCUUGGUAGACCUUAAGUGAAGAAAAAAGUCUAGCUCAGAAGGUGUUGCAAGAGACAGGAUUGAUGUUACAAGCUUAUUGGUCUAUGUUCAGUCACAUUCAUGUGUUAAUGAAAGCCCUGUUAAUAUGUAAAAAUUGAGGAUGAUUCUUAGUGAUCAAAAGCUCUCUGUGUUUCAGAAUUCAGAAGAAAUGACUGAAAAAGAACAGGCAUGUUGCUACCCAAAAAGGUCACAGAGGGAGAAUGAAACAGUGCUGUGCCAUGUACUGCUGUUCCCGAGACUAAAGCUCUGGAGAGCAGAAGAUGGAGCUUUCUUGGCAGCUAACUCAUACCUGCAGAAAUCCCUCAUUGCAUGUGGUGAGAGGUGUGAAAACUACAGCUACUUUCAAAGUCAAGAGCUCCUGAAAUUUGAAUGUUCACAUUCACUGCCAUUUAGGGGCUGAAGGAAGUGGGGCUAUUCAGGCUAAAGAAGACAUCCCAAGGGUCUUCACAUCUUUAAAGGCUGCUUCUGAGAGGAAGGUAAUAAUCAUUCCCAUGCUGAGCAAAAAGAAGCAUAGACUGGAAUUGCAGAGAGGCAGACUGAGCUUAGACAUAAGCACAAACUCAAAAUAAGGAGAGUGAAGGAGUGCCUAUGAAUAUUGUGAAAUUUCCAUCACUGAAGAUGUUUAAAAAUGAGUUACACGAGUCUCUGCUGUCAGAAUAUAGCUAUAGACUUGCUGGGUGGAAUUUGGAAUUGACUAGCUGACCUCUUGGUUUAUAGAAUCACAGAAGCA